GACGAACGCUGGCGGCGUGCUUAACACAUGCAAGUCGAACGGAAAGGCCCUGCUUUUGUGGGGUGCUCGAGUGGCGAACGGGUGAGUAACACGUGAGUAACCUGCCCUUGACUUUGGGAUAACUUCAGGAAACUGGGGCUAAUACCGGAUAGGAGCUCCUGCUGCAUGGUGGGGGCUGGAAAGUUUCGGCGGUUGGGGAUGGACUCGCGGCUUAUCAGCUUGUUGGUGGGGUAGUGGCUUACCAAGGCUUUGACGGGUAGCCGGCCUGAGAGGGUGACCGGCCACAGUGGGACUGAGAUACGGCCCAGACUCCUACGGGAGGCAGCAGUGGGGAAUAUUGCACAAUGGGCGGAAGCCUGAUGCAGCAACGCCGCGUGCGGGAUGACGGCCUUCGGGUUGUAAACCGCUUUCGCCUGUGACGAAGCGUGAGUGACGGUAAUGGGUAAAGAAGCACCGGCUAACUACGU
Molecule: ribosomal RNA, 467 nt
Filed under: uncultured bacterium
Lineage: Bacteria
Description: partial 16S ribosomal RNA
Rfam family: Bacterial small subunit ribosomal RNA
Source: RNAcentral